Molecule: ribosomal RNA, 497 nt
Filed under: uncultured bacterium
Lineage: Bacteria
Description: partial 16S ribosomal RNA
Rfam family: Bacterial small subunit ribosomal RNA
Source: RNAcentral
GAUGAACGCUGGCGGCGUGCCUAAUACAUGCCAGUCGAGCGAACGGACGAGAAGCUUGCUUCUCUGAUGUUAGCGGCGGACGGGUGAGUAACACGUGGAUAACCUACCUAUAAGACUGGGAUAACUUCGGGAAACCGGAGCUAAUACCGGAUAAUAUUUUGAACCGCAUGGUUCAAAAGUGAAAGACGGUCUUGCUGUCACUUAUAGAUGGAUCCGCGCUGCAUUAGCUAGUUGGUAAGGUAACGGCUUACCAAGGCAACGAUGCAUAGCCGACCUGAGAGGGUGAUCGGCCACACUGGAACUGAGACACGGUCCAGACUCCUACGGGAGGCAGCAGUAGGGAAUCUUCCGCAAUGGGCGAAAGCCUGACGGAGCAACGCCGCGUGAGUGAUGAAGGUCUUCGGAUCGUAAAACUCUGUUAUUAGGGAAGAACAUAUGUGCAAGUAACUGUGCACAUCUUGACGGUACCUAAUCAGAAAGCCACGGCUAACUACGUG